Molecule: long non-coding RNA, 795 nt
Filed under: Ovis aries (sheep)
Lineage: Eukaryota; Metazoa; Chordata; Mammalia; Artiodactyla; Bovidae
Description: lncRNA (ENSOARG00000026162.1)
Source: RNAcentral
AUGUUCAAGCCGAUUUUAGAAAAUGAAGAGGAACCAGAGUUCAAAUUGCCAACAUUUGCUGGAUCAUUGAAAAAAGAAGUUGAAAGAGACACAUGUACCCCAAUGUUCAUCGCAGCACUGUUUAUAAUAGCCAGGACAUGGAAACAACCUAGAUGUCCAUCAGCAGAUGAAUGGAUAAGAAAGCUGUGGUACAUAUACACAAUGGAGUAUUACUCAGCCGUUAAAAAGAAUUCAUUUGAAUCAGUUCUGAUGAGAUGGAUGAAACUGGAGCCGAUUAUACAGAGUGAAGUAAGCCAGAAAGAAAAACACCAAUACAGUAUACUAACACAUAUAUAUGGAAUUUAGGAAGAUGGCAAUGACGACCCUGUAUGCAAGACAGGAAAAAAGACACAGAUGUGUAUAACGGACUUUUGGACACAGAGGGAGAGGGAGAGGGUGGGAUGAUUUGGGAGAAUGACAUUCUAACAUGUAUACUAUCAUGUGAAUUGAAUCGCCAGUCUAUGUCUGACGCAGGAUGCAGCAUGCUUGGGGCUGGUGCAUGGGGAUGACCCAGAAAGAUGUUAUGGGGAGGGAGGUGGGAGGGGGGUUCAUGUUUGGGAAUGCAUGUAAGAAUUAAAGAUUUUAAAAUUUAAAAAAUAAAAAACUAAAAAAAAAUAAAAUAAAAAUUAAAAAAAAAAAAAAAAAGAAAGUUCGAUUUAUACUCUAGGGGUGGGGGAACUUUUGAUAUCUCUGAUUGAGAUUGGAUAUUGUAUCAAGGACUUGGUUUGGAGCCAGAAAUGUAUUAGUCAAAUUAUC